This 1057-nucleotide long non-coding RNA is filed under the name Bos indicus x Bos taurus (hybrid cattle). RNAcentral's name for it is "lncRNA (ENSBIXG00005017013.1)". The record is from RNAcentral. Lineage: Eukaryota; Metazoa; Chordata; Mammalia; Artiodactyla; Bovidae.
CCCGCCAUGAUUUAUUACUUUAUUUCAUCGCUCCUGCCUUUGUGCAAACCAGCUGAUUUGUUCAUGAAAAUUUAAAUCAUGUCCAUACUGGAAGCUGAAAUUUCUUUGGGGGGUUGUUAUUUGAGGAUUCCCACCACUGCCCCCCACCAAUAUUUCUUUUUAUGCUAUUCAUGGCAGGUGACAAUUUAUUUUCUUUUCCCUUUUCCUUUUUUUUUUUCUACUCCUUUUUUUUUUUUUUUUUUAAUAAAAACCAUCUAACUGGAAGAGCACCAGGCCUAUGUUGCUUAUUUGUAUUGUUUGAUGCCAAUGGCAGAUUAAGUAGCCAUCUAUUAGAAACAGCCUCAGAAAGUCCCAGGUCCAGGAGACAAAUGUUCUGCUCAGCCCUGGUCAUGGAUUGUUCCUGUGUGAACUGUAUCCCCAGCAGGAAAUCAGUUCUGAGAACAAACAGGCAAGUAAACAGGCUGAGGAAUUGUGCUGUUCACUUGCAUCUCUGGGACUUUAGUCAAUGGAGCAUCAGACCCAAGCAGGCUUUACUGUGUUUACCUCCUGGACUUGAUGCCCAAGAGUGGCACUGCCGUGUACCUGGCAGUGUGCCAGGGGGCCACGGGGACGUGGGCGGAGUCUGCAUUCUCGGGGACCAAAGGCAGGUGGGGGUAAGAGCUGCAACAAUCUUCGCUGUGAUCAAAGGAAGCAGAGCAGAUCCUUUCCCUCUGAGAGAGUCUGGGGUGCCUGCCUGGAGGAGGUGCCGCUUGAACUGCUCAAAAGUAGGUAACUCACAUUUUAGCUGGAUCAGGCCGCUAAACGUUUGUCCCAACUGCCACAAGAAUGAAACCUCGAGGAAAGGAACAGUGGGUGGUUUCCUAAUGAGCCCAUUUCCUGUACAUCACCGGGCUUCAUCCCCAUGACCUUGGACUUGUUCUGACAUCUAAACGAGGACCCUGAGACACAGAAAGGAUUGAAACAUACCCCAGGAUCUUCAUGAAGGGGCACAGGUCAGGAUUUGAACCCUAGCAGUUUUAGCAGGGGCCUUGCUGUAGCAGAUAACUGGUUCAGGGAG